RNAcentral lists this long non-coding RNA (517 nucleotides) under Phoenix dactylifera (date palm). RNAcentral's name for it is "long non-coding RNA (PDAC_LNC001892)". Lineage: Eukaryota; Viridiplantae; Streptophyta; Magnoliopsida; Arecales; Arecaceae. The record is from RNAcentral.
GCUAUUCCCCCAUGUAUGCGGGAAUAUCCUCGCCAAAUAGAGACUUAUACAAUGAGGGCAUAAGGGGACCCACACGAUACUUCUAUUGUGCCACUUUGGUGGAAUGGAGUAAAACCAUGGGAUAGGAUUGUCGUUGUUCUCUCUAAUUUAUCCUUUUACCCUUAUCCACUCUACGAGCACAUCAAAUGGCAAGAGUGUUGUCUUUGUAAUGAAAUACAAAUAUCUCAAAUUCAAAACACAUUAAACACACUUUAUUCUUUAUACUUAUCCUUCUAAUCAAAUGUCAAAUUCCUCCUAUUCCAUAGAAUGGUUGUGUCCCUUCAAUAGUAUAAGGAUAUUCCUUCCAAAAUUUAUUCCCACCCAAAUGGUACCUAUAUGUCUACGUGACAAAAGAAAAAUCCUAAUCUUAAAGUACGUCCAUUAGUCCAUCAGUCCAUCAAACAAAUACUCAUAGCGACCAACUUUAUGGGUGAGAUGUCCAUCUUAUGGACGCUAAACUUGUUAUUUUCAAGCCGCC